This 1097-nucleotide small RNA is filed under the name Pongo abelii (Sumatran orangutan). RNAcentral's name for it is "processed transcript". Lineage: Eukaryota; Metazoa; Chordata; Mammalia; Primates; Hominidae. The record is from RNAcentral.
GCGGGGGUGGUACUGCCGCAUCCGGGUGUCUGGAGGCCGUGGCCGUUUUGUUUUCUUGGCUGAAACCGGGGGAGUGAGGCGGGCCGGCGCGGCGCGACACCGGGCUCCGGAACCACUGCACGACGGGGCUGGACUGACCUGAAAAAAAUGUCUGGAUUUCUAGAGGGCUUGAGAUGCUCAGAAUGCAUUGACUGGGGGGAAAAGCGCAAUACUAUUGCUUCCAUUGCUGCUGGUGUACUAUUUUUUACAGGCUGGUGGAUUAUCAUAGAUGCAGCUGUUAUUUAUCCCACCAUGAAAGAUUUCAACCACUCAUACCAUGCCUGUGGUGUUAUAGCAACCAUAGCCUUCCUAAUGAUUAAUGCAGUAUCGAAUGGACAAGUCCGAGGUGAUAGUUACAGUGAAGGUUGUCUGGGUCAAACAGAAAAAGACAUAGUAUACCCUGGAAUUGCUGUAUUUUUCCAGAAUGCCUUCAUCUUUUUUGGAGGGCUGGUUUUUAAGUUUGGCCGCACUGAAGACUUAUGGCAGUGAACACAUCUGAUUUCCCACAGCACAACAGCCCUGCAUGGGUUUGUUUGUUUUUUUACUGCUCACUCCCAACCUUUUGUAAUGCCAUUUUCUAAACUUAUUUCUGAGUGUAGUCUCAGCUUAAAGUUGUGUAAUACUAAAAUCACGAGAACACCUAAACAACAACCAAAAAUCUAUUGUGGUAUGCACUUGAUUAACUUAUAAAAUGUUAAAGGAAACUUUCACAUGAAUAAUUUUUGUCAAAUUUUAUCAUGGUAUAAUUUGUAAAAAUAAAAAGAAAUUACAAAAGAAAUUAUGGAUUUGUCAAUGUAAGUGUUUGUCAUAUCUGAGGUCCAAAACCACAAUGAAAGUGCUCUGAAGAUUUAAUGUGUUUAUUCAAAUGUGGUCUCUUCUGUGUCAAAUGUUAAAUAUAAACAUUUUUUAGUUUUUAAAAUAUUUCAUGGUCAAAAUUCUUCCUCACUGUAAUUGGUAUUUACUUUUACCAAAAAUUCUGUGAACAUGUAAUGUAAGUGGCUUUUGAGAGUCUCCCAAGGGGUGAGUGGACGUGUUGGAAGAGAGAAGCACCAUGGUCC